RNAcentral lists this non-coding RNA (73 nucleotides) under Partenskyella glossopodia. Lineage: Eukaryota; Cercozoa; Chlorarachniophyceae. The record is from RNAcentral.
CAAUCACAAUCACAAUCACAAUCACAAUCACAAGUCAGCGAGCCUCAGAUCUCAAAGCAGAUGUACUUCUGCC